Long non-coding RNA from Empidonax traillii (willow flycatcher), 141 nucleotides. RefSeq lists it as uncharacterized. Lineage: Eukaryota; Metazoa; Chordata; Aves; Passeriformes; Tyrannidae. The transcript is spliced from 3 exons. The record is from RefSeq and is a predicted model, not a curated record.
ACUCCUGGAUGAGAAACAAGUUCUUUGCAGGGGGUGUCGGGAAGGAGAAGCAGUGACUUUGCAAAAAUACAGAAAAGCCAUUUUAAGAUAUGUUUAAACAACAUUAAAAACUUCUGUUUCUAUAACAUUUGAGCUGUUUUC